This 23-nucleotide small nuclear RNA is filed under the name Arabidopsis thaliana (thale cress). RNAcentral's name for it is "snRNA_02040". The record is from RNAcentral. Lineage: Eukaryota; Viridiplantae; Streptophyta; Magnoliopsida; Brassicales; Brassicaceae.
CCUCUUUUGAGGGAAAAUGGGUA